Molecule: ribosomal RNA, 506 nt
Filed under: uncultured bacterium
Lineage: Bacteria
Description: partial 16S ribosomal RNA
Rfam family: Bacterial small subunit ribosomal RNA
Source: RNAcentral
AGUGAACGCUGGCGGUAGGCCUAACACAUGCAAGUCGAACGGCAGCUCAGAGGAGCUUGCUCCUUGGGUGGCGAGUGGCGGACGGGUGAGGAAUACAUCGGAAUCUACUCUGUCGUGGGGGAUAACGUAGGGAAACUUACGCUAAUACCGCAUACGACCUACGGGUGAAAGCAGGGGAUCUUCGGACCUUGCGCGAUUGAAUGAGCCGAUGUCGGAUUAGCUAGUUGGCGGGGUAAAGGCGCACCAAGGCGACGAUCCGUAGCUGGUCUGAGAGGAUGAUCAGCCACACUGGAACUGAGACACGGUCCAGACUCCUACGGGAGGCAGCAGUGGGGAAUAUUGGACAAUGGGCACAAGCCUGAUCCAGCCAUACCGCGUGGGUGAAGAAGGCCUUCGGGUUGUAAAGCCCUUUUGUUGGGAAAGAAAUCCAUCUGGUUAAUACCCGGGUGGGAUGACGGUACCCAAAGAAUAAGCACCGGCUAACUUCGUGCCAGCCGCCGCCGUAA